CUUGGAGACAAUGGAAAUACCGCUUGGCAUUUAGUUUUAAGCCUCGCGGUGGACUAGCAGAGCCUGUCAUGUCGUUUGUUUCCCGAUUAUUAAAAAGAAGAGGAUAUAAUGGAUUGAUUGAUACAGGGAUCCAGCAGAUACGGAAAAAGGGACAACACUUCAACUGAAUGUGUCAUCCAUAUACCGGUUCUUGUGAAAAGUGUUUUAUUUGGCACCAUUCAGCUACAAAUACCCAAUGUACUCUUUGCCGGUGGAAUUGUGACCUCAAUCAACUGCUCAUGACACUGCUACAUGGCAGAGAAUUUUCUUCUGAGACAAGCAAAUUGUUUAAAACAUUUUACACCUGCAGGUAGUGAUGACUGCAACAGAAGUUUUUAUCAGGAUCUCGUCCGACAUCAUAAGUACAACUGGUCACUGUGAUUUCUUAAAUAAGAGGACAUAUUGUAAAGGCGGUUACAUAUGUACACGUGGCUCCAAAUGAUGCUUGACUGUUUUCCUUCGCUUUAUACGUAAACCUGGAUUCUCUGAUGCAGUAAUAUAGAGCCAUGUCAUGUUUUAAAUCCCAUCUUCCCACUGUCACAAAGUGCUGAAAUAAAAUGAUUUUGAUUUAAA
Long non-coding RNA from Saccostrea cuccullata (small rock oyster), 612 nucleotides. RefSeq lists it as uncharacterized. NCBI's taxonomy places the organism in Eukaryota, Metazoa, Mollusca, Bivalvia, Ostreida, Ostreidae. The record is from RefSeq and is a predicted model, not a curated record. The transcript is spliced from 4 exons.